GCGGCGUGCUUAACACAUGCAAGUCGAACGGAAAGGCCCUGCUUUUGUGGGGUGCUCGAGUGGCGAACGGGUGAGUAACACGUGAGUAACCUGCCCUUGACUUUGGGAUAACUUCAGGAAACUGGGGCUAAUACCGGAUAGGAGCUCCUGCUGCAUGGUGGGGGUUGGAAAGUUUCGGCGGUUGGGGAUGGACUCGCGGCUUAUCAGCUUGUUGGUGGGGUAGUGGCUUACCAAGGCUUUGACGGGUAGCCGGCCUGAGAGGGUGACCGGCCACAUUGGGACUGAGAUACGGCCCAGACUCCUACGGGAGGCAGCAGUGGGGAAUAUUGCACAAUGGGCGGAAGCCUGAUGCAGCAACGCCGCGUGCGGGAUGACGGCCUUCGGGUUGUAAACCGCUUUCGCCUGUGACGAAGCGUGAGUGACGGUAAUGGGUAAAGAAGCACCGGCUAACUACGUGCCAGCAGCCGCGGUGAUACGUAGGGUGCGAGCGUUGUCCGGAUUUAUUGGGCGUAAAGGGCUCGUAGGUGGUUGAUCGCGUCGGAAGUGUAAUCUUGGGGCUUAACCCUGAGCGUGCUUUCGAUACGGGUUGACUUGAGGAAGGUAGGGGAGAAUGGAAUUCCUGGUGGAGCGGUGGAAUGCGCAGAUUUCAGGAGGAACACCAGUGGCGAAGGCGGUUCUCUGGGCCUUUCCUGACGCUGAGGAGCGAAAGCGUGGGGGAGCGAACAGGCUUAGAUACCCUGGUAGUCCACGCUGUAAACGGUGGGUACUAGGUGUGGGGUCCAUUCCACGGGUUCCGUGCCGUAGCUAACGCUUUAAGUACCCCGCCUGGGGAGUACGGCCGCAAGGCUAAAACUCAAAGGAAUUGACGGGGCCCCGCACAAGCGGCGGAGCAUGCGGAUUAAUUCGAUGCAACGCGUAGAACCUUACCUGGGUUUGACAUGGAUCGGGAGUGCUCAGAGAUGGGUGUGCCUCUUUUGGGGUCGGUUCACAGGUGGUGCAUGGCUGUCGUCAGCUCGUGUCGUGAGAUGUUGGGUUAAGUCCCGCAACGAGCGCAACCCUUGUUCACUGUUGCCAGCACGUUAUGGUGGGGACUCAGUGGAGACCGCCGGGGUCAACUCGGAGGAAGGUGGGGAUGACGUCAAGUCAUCAUGCCCCUUAUGUCCAGGGCUUCACGCAUGCUACAAUGGCUGGUACAGAGAGUGGCGAGCCUGUGAGGGUGAGCGAAUCUCGGAAAGCCGGUCUCAGUUCGGAUUGGGGUCUGCAACUCGACCUCAUGAAGUCGGAGUCGCUAGUAAUCGCAGAUCAGCAACGCUGCGGUGAAUACGUUCCCGGGGCUUGUACACACCGCCCGUCAAGUCAUGAAAGUUGGUAACACCCGAAGCCGGUGGCCUAACCGUUGUGGGGGAGCCGUCGAAGGUGGGACUGGUGAUUAGGACU
RNAcentral lists this ribosomal RNA (1437 nucleotides) under uncultured organism. RNAcentral's name for it is "partial small subunit ribosomal RNA". It matches the Rfam family "Bacterial small subunit ribosomal RNA". The record is from RNAcentral.